AAACUUAUUGACUGGCAUCAGCACAUCAUUCAACUUCCAUGUAGAAAGAUAGAGAACUGAGUCUGAAACAUUGCCCAGUGCCAGUAGGCUACUCAUACUCCUAUGUCUGCUAUAUAGUUCAAUUAAAUGCAAUUUUGAAGUUAGGUGUACACGAGUAUGAUACUAUCAUGUAUAUCUCAAUCUGACUUAUCUCAAUACAUCAUGUACAUUUCAAUUCACCACCAUUAACAUACAACUUCAUCAAUUCAGUCAAGCACUACCCCACCCCCUCCAUUGUUUUGAGAGCACAAAAAGUAUAUAAAACUAACAACUUUGCGCAUCAGUAAGCUGACAGGAAACCUACCAAAAUCAAAUCUGAUCAGUCCAAUCAAUUCUGACAAGUAUAGUUAGUUCCUUAUCAUGUAGAGCUAUCAUGUUGCAUUGCAUAAGGUUCAUUGUCAUAAUUUUCAGAGCUAAAAGCUGAUCAUGAAUCAGCCUCCUUCCAAGAAACAAACAAAUCAGAAUCAGCUCAAUAUUAGGCAUAGGUUUUCAACAAAAGUACUUCUAAAAUUAAAGCUGAGCCAAAGCACUGUUAUCCUACAGUUUCAGUGUACACAGUUGUAUAUGGCUUCAGAAAAAGAAAAAAAAGUCUAGAAGCUAAAACAUGUGCCUUGAUCAUUCAACGAAUUAUGCGCAUAGCCACCUAACUGGUUAAUCAUGUUCCAUGUGAAAUGGGAUCAUCCUUCUGACAGUAUUACAAUUAGCUUCCAACCAAUUCAGAGAAAACAUACGAAGAGGUGAAAGAAAAUAUUACAUCCUUCGGCGUUAAAAAAUACUGAGGUUACUUGAACUGUACUGACCGCUUAGCAACACUUUUCAUCCUUAAGACUUACUAAUAAUUUGAGUUUUCAUUUCCUGUUUUUUCUUCCAUUCAAUAUGCUGUAGACUUGAAGCCAUAUAUGUGAUGCACUUAUGAAUUUGCAGCCAAGUUAAUUUACUUAAUAGUAUCAUUUGUGGCAUUACUUCACAUCCACAAAUUCACCCUAAUACUGAUUAUUGACUCAUUCUUCUAUGCUGAAAUACACCAAGAGGAGACAAUAACUUAUUCACGUUUUCGACUUCUAAAAUGGAGUUGAUGCAUAAUACAGGAAAGAAGGGGUGGGAAUUAAACUGUGUAGGGGUUCAAAUUAAGUCCUUAAGUCAUCAUGCAAAUCACAGGUGGAUUAGGAUUCAACAUAAAGAUCCUUACUUGGCACCCCUCCCCACCAUAGUUUGCUAAUAUUUUCUACUUAAUAGACAUGUAUUCAGAACUUAAUGAUAAUUUGUCCAAAUUAAUUUCACAUAUAUUCUGGUGUUCAACUUUACUAGAUACAUGCUUUGUACUCAUCUUCUACAACAAACAAACAGAACUUCCUCAUGCUAAUAAUCUUGUAAGUAGCAAAACAUUGUUCAGAAUAAAAAAAUGCAUAUAGAAGUGCAUGCCAUUAUAUAGAUCAGUCACUUAAGCAAACUCGAUUUUUGCUGUUUUAAAGUGGAUUGUGCAGCAAUACCUUGUUUUAUCAAGUAACACCUGAGUAUAUCACUUCAACAAUUACCAAAUCUAUAGAUUUUCUCAUCAAGGAGCAUCAGAAAGAGAAGCACAGCCACAAACACACCACAGCAGCACAUACGGUAGGUCGGUUUCUCAUCAAGGAGCAUCAGAAAGAGAAGCACAGCCACAAACACACCACAGCAGCACAUACGGUAGGUCGGUAGCAGCUCAACAUCAUACGGUAGACCACAGGGUAACAACAACUACUUAAUAUGGUUUGAUACUAAUGGGAAUAAGGAAAAAAGGUUUAGUAAAGAAAGAAAAUGGUCAAUGAAAGGUGAAAUUGAAGAUUUCCACAGGCAUAAGGCAAUAAAUAUGCAAAAAUCACAAGAAAGUACAAUCCUAAUGACCAUCCAUGGAUCAUUAUGGGACAUUUCAACAAAAAAUGCAAGCACACAUAGGUCACAUGGUUUAUGCAGUUAAAAUGAAAAAGAAAAGCAUCUACAUAAGCACUGUUUGCAGUUCUUGGGUAGGUAGCGCUUGUAUGGCAGUAAGGCAUAGAGAGUAGUACCA
RNAcentral lists this long non-coding RNA (2083 nucleotides) under Setaria italica (foxtail millet). RNAcentral's name for it is "long non-coding RNA (SITA_LNC000241)". Lineage: Eukaryota; Viridiplantae; Streptophyta; Magnoliopsida; Poales; Poaceae. The record is from RNAcentral.